AAAAAUUGUAGCAACCAUAGAAUAAAGUUCGAAUUUGAAGUUGUGAAAAUUUGUCAAAAUUUCAAGUUUAAGAGCAAUGACCGAGAACUCGUCAUUUUACGGCUCCUCGUGUGGAGACUACUCCGACAUUGAGAAAAUUAAAAGCGAAAUUCUGACGAAACGGUUUGACCUUUCAAAAUUCAAAUGUAUGCCUAAGGAAAUAUUGGAAACAACUUUGGUUCACUGGCGAGGCGAGCAGUUGCAGAAGGUGGAGGAAGAGCUGCAUUUGCUGCGCAUUAUUGAAGACAUGAUGAAAAAUUCGGACGCUGAAAAGUUUGAGGGCUACACGGACAAGACGAAAUUAGCCGAGUUGAUAAAAAGUGUUCGCAGUUCGAGUGAAAUUUAGUUUAAUAAAGUCUGCAAAAAUC
Tribolium castaneum (red flour beetle) is the source of this 407-nucleotide RNA transcript. RefSeq lists it as hypothetical. The record is from RefSeq and is a predicted model, not a curated record. Lineage: Eukaryota; Metazoa; Arthropoda; Insecta; Coleoptera; Tenebrionidae. The transcript is spliced from 2 exons.